GCGCGCCCGACGCGGCCCCCAGCGUUCUUCGCCCUGGGACCCUCCUUGCUUUUUGAGGCUCUGAGGACAGUGCCGAGAGCUGGGGAGGGAAGGAAGUAGCAAGGGUGAAGUGGGGUGGCAGAGAGGCGGACACUGGCCACUUGCGGGAGACUGGAUGUCCGGGAGACAGGCCUACUGCAUGCAGCAUCGUUGGUGUGGUACGUAAUUUGGUAUGACUGUAUCCAUUGUCAAGGAGCAGUGUGGGAUAGUGACAAGAGCUGAGGCUUCCACACCAGGGAAAUCUGGGUCCAGAUGCUGCCUAAGGCAUUAGCACUCUCUGUGCCCUUGGGCUCUACAGAUGCAUCAUCAAGGUCAAGGGUGUUGCUACUUGUAACUUAGAACAACAUAGCAUUGUCGUCUGUUUAAAUCCCUCUUCAGGGAUGAUACCCUCCCAUCUAUUCAUUCUGCAAGAUUCUAGAAUCUUAGACAACAUUCUAUCAAGUAGAACCUUCUGGAUUUCAUUUUGGCCUUAUUCACUGAAAAUUAUGGAGCCCAAAGCUUUCGUUUAUACUGCUUCUAUAUAUAUCUCCAGGGCAAGAAAAUGGAUGAGAAGAAUGGUUAUCUUACAGCUUUUCAAACAGAAACUCAUUACAAUCUCAGUUAAUGAAGCAUGGAGAAAUCAAAAUCAAAGCAUCAGCAUUUACUACCUCCUAGAUGCCUGGAACUUUUCAAAGUGAAUUACAGAGCAGAUUCACACCCUUUAAAGAAUUUGUAAAUUCAGAAACGGCUGGGAGCAGGUGAGUAUUUCUGCAAAAUUUGAGAGGUGUGGAUCUAUGACCAAGGAAGCAAAGAUUGUGGCAUCCCCAGAAGCUUUCCUUUUGAAUCAGGAGCUGCUUUGACCAGGACUUGCGUGGUAUAGUGUUCGCAGAAGCACGGAUGGCCAAGGACCUCUAUCCUAUUAUUUACUCUUAUUACUUCCUGGUGUUGGCACUUCCGCAGAAAAUGUUGACGCGUGACAUCAAAGGCGAAGAGGAGAUCCGCAAUCCCUAGUUCCUUCGCUGCUCCUCCUAAGCUGAGGGAAGCGAGCGUGGGGAAAACGUGCAAAUAUCAAGGAGCAAAAUCAAAACAGCCAAGUUCAUUUGGGGCGGCGUACGUGAUUCAAAGCGCGGUGAACAUCCGCGGCGAGGUCUUGCCGCAUUACUUCUAUGAGAAGGCACGAUGCAGUAGCUGGGAGCUGGGGCUCUGGUGCUAGACCCCAGCGUGGCCAACUUGUAUCCUUGGGCUCGGCCGGCUUCAGGACACAGCACAGGAGCGGAAUGCUGAACCAGGGCUUGUGGCAUAUGAAUUGCAACAUUUCCAUAUUUUUCCUGCACAAACAGCUGGGACCAGAUUGUAUACACAUUUCAGGUUCAACAAGAGUGUUUGUAGACUAUUGAAAGGUGGAUUUAUAUAUAAGACUUAUUUCCCAUUGAAGACAUCAGAUU
Long non-coding RNA from Neofelis nebulosa (Clouded leopard), 1463 nucleotides. RefSeq lists it as uncharacterized. The transcript has 5 exons. The record is from RefSeq and is a predicted model, not a curated record. Lineage: Eukaryota; Metazoa; Chordata; Mammalia; Carnivora; Felidae.